Molecule: ribosomal RNA, 147 nt
Filed under: uncultured bacterium
Lineage: Bacteria
Description: partial 16S ribosomal RNA
Source: RNAcentral
UGGGAUAUUGUAGGGGAAAGCCUGAACCAGCCAGCCGCGUGCAAGGAUGAAGGCCCUAGUUGGAAACCUGUUUUAUUAAGGGCGGAUAAAGUGACGGGCCGUAAUGAAUAAUCUCCGGGCUAACAUAGCAAUAAGACCGUAGAUCUG